UACGAAGGGGGCUAGCGUUGCUCGGAAUCACUGGGCGUAAAGGGUGCGUAGGCGGGUCUUAAGUCAGGGGUGAAAUCCUGGAGCUCAACUCCAGAACUGCCUUUGAUACUGAAGAUCUUGAGUUCGGGAGAGGUGAGUGGAACUGCGAGUGUAGAGGUGAAAUUCGUAGAUAUUCGCAAGAACACCAGUGGCGAAGGCGGCUCACUGGCCCGGUACUGACGCUGAGGUGCGAAAGCGUGGGGAGCAAACAGGG
RNAcentral lists this ribosomal RNA (253 nucleotides) under uncultured bacterium. RNAcentral's name for it is "partial 16S ribosomal RNA". It matches the Rfam family "Bacterial small subunit ribosomal RNA", at positions 524 to 777 of the family's 1533-position model. The record is from RNAcentral.